This 253-nucleotide ribosomal RNA is filed under the name uncultured bacterium. RNAcentral describes it as "partial 16S ribosomal RNA". It matches the Rfam family "Bacterial small subunit ribosomal RNA", at positions 524 to 776 of the family's 1533-position model. The record is from RNAcentral.
GACGAACCGAGCGAACGUUGUUCGGAAUCACUGGGCUUAAAGGGUGCGUAGGCGGGCUGCCAAGUUUGGGGUGAAAUCCUCCGGCUCAACCGGGGAAGUGCCUCGAAUACUGGCGGUCUGGAGGGAGGUAGGGGCGUGCGGAACUAACGGUGGAGCGGUGAAAUGCGUUGAUAUCGUUAGGAACUCCGGUGGCGAAGGCGGCACGCUAGACCUCUUCUGACGCUGAGGCGCGAAAGCUAGGGGAGCAAACGGG